Molecule: ribosomal RNA, 253 nt
Filed under: uncultured bacterium
Lineage: Bacteria
Description: partial 16S ribosomal RNA
Rfam family: Bacterial small subunit ribosomal RNA
Source: RNAcentral
UACGUAGGGGGCGAGCGUUGUCCGGAUUUAUUGGGCGUAAAGAGCGUGUAGGCGGUUCGGUAAGUCUGUCGUGAAAUCCUGAGGCUCAACCUCGGGCGUGCGAUGGAUACUGCCGGGCUAGAGGAUGGUAGAGGCGAGUGGAAUUCCCGGUGUAGCGGUGAAAUGCGCAGAUAUCGGGAGGAACACCAGCAGCGAAGGCGGCUCGCUGGGCCAUUCCUGACGCUGAGACGCGAAAGCGUGGGGAGCGAACAGG